This 31-nucleotide small RNA is filed under the name Bombyx mori (domestic silkworm). RNAcentral describes it as "ovarian small RNA-28880". The record is from RNAcentral. Lineage: Eukaryota; Metazoa; Arthropoda; Insecta; Lepidoptera; Bombycidae.
UCGCUUGUGAGCCCCGCGGCACUCCCGCUCC